GGCCGGCUCCGGGUUCUUUCCGUUGUCCCCAAGCCCUCCGGUAAGAAGGGAGGUUCUGAUUGGUUUAACGAGGAGACGGACGCACGGCUGGACCAAUAAGAUGGUAGUUUCUCCGUGCGUGGGCGGGCCUUGGCCGUAGAGACACAUCUCCUGGGCAGUUGAGGAAGCUGAGGCCUGCUGGCCGCUCCCAGAGCAGCUGGGCGUGCUAGAAAGCGUGAGGUGUCAAAGGGAAACACUGCCGUGACAGAGACCAGGUGGCAUGUCUUUUAGUCAGCGGGAAAUUUCAGAUUUUCUGCCCAGGCGAUGUCCACGGCAGCUCGGUUGCCAUGCGUACGUCUGCGUUGUUUGUCUCCUCAUUCAGAACUGACACCUGAAGUUUGGUUUCUCUGUGAUGGGCAAGUGCCCUGGCCAGUCUCCAAAUGGCUGCUCUGUAAGGUAUCAGACACACAGAGAGAAAUGUGUUGGCAACCACAGCAUGGAAAUCAAGAAGGAGGAAGUGACACACUCUGCCUCUCAAGUGAGAACUAACGAAAAGACAUCUGUAUCAGGGAGAAAGCAAAAGAUCUUGAGACAAGUAUUUAAGGAUGAGCAGGGACCCCUGAGGAGGCUGAGGGCACCUGAGACAGAAACUAGAUUCAGGUAAGGCAUCCAUGAAGAGAAGCAUCAGAGUGUG
This 673-nucleotide long non-coding RNA is filed under the name Cricetulus griseus (Chinese hamster). RNAcentral's name for it is "lncRNA (ENSCGRG00000026208.1)". Lineage: Eukaryota; Metazoa; Chordata; Mammalia; Rodentia; Cricetidae. The record is from RNAcentral.